AACGAACGCUGGCGGCAGGCUUAACACAUGCAAGUCGAACGCUCGUAGCAAUACGGGAGUGGCGGACGGGUGAGUAACGCGUGGGAACGUGCCCUGAGGUACGGAAUAACUGAGGGAAACUUCAGCUAAUACCGUAUGAGCCCCGAGAGGGGGAAAGAUUUAUCGCCUUGGGGAGCGGCCCGCGUCGGAUUAGCUAGUUGGUGGGGUAACGGCCUACCAAGGCUUCGAUCCGUAGCUGGUCUGAGAGGACGAUCAGCCACACUGGGACUGAGACACGGCCCAGACUCCUACGGGAGGCAGCAGUGGGGAAUCUUGCGCAAUGGGGGCAACCCUGACGCAGCCAUGCCGCGUGAACGAUGAAGGCCUUAGGGUUGUAAAGUUCUUUUACCCGUGACGAUGAUGACGGUAACGGGGGAUAAGCUCCGGCUAACUUCGUG
RNAcentral lists this ribosomal RNA (437 nucleotides) under uncultured bacterium. RNAcentral's name for it is "bacterial SSU rRNA". It matches the Rfam family "Bacterial small subunit ribosomal RNA", at positions 29 to 507 of the family's 1533-position model. The record is from RNAcentral.